This 304-nucleotide ribosomal RNA is filed under the name uncultured Bacillota bacterium. Its description in RNAcentral is "bacterial SSU rRNA". It matches the Rfam family "Bacterial small subunit ribosomal RNA", at positions 28 to 351 of the family's 1533-position model. Lineage: Bacteria; Bacillati; Bacillota. The record is from RNAcentral.
GACGAACGCUGGCGGCGUGCCUAACACAUGCAAGUCGAACGGAGUUUCCAGCAAUGGAUUCUUAGUGGCGAACGGGUGAGUAACGCGUAGACAACCUACCUUCUAGAUGGGGACAACACUGCGAAAGUGGUGCUAAUACCGAAUGUUCCCGAGAGGGGAAAGAUUUAUCGCCAGAAGAGGGGCCCGCGUCCGAUUAGGUAGUUGGUAGGGUAAUGGCCUACCAAGCCGACGAUCGGUAGCUGGUCUGAGAGGAUGAUCAGCCACACUGGGACUGAGAUACGGCCCAGACUCCUACGGGAGGCUG